This 729-nucleotide ribosomal RNA is filed under the name uncultured eukaryote. Its description in RNAcentral is "SSU rRNA". It matches the Rfam family "Eukaryotic small subunit ribosomal RNA", at positions 669 to 1426 of the family's 1831-position model. The record is from RNAcentral.
CGGGUGCACUGAUCCAGCCGGGCCUUUCCCUCUGUGGAACCUCAUGGCCUUCACUGGCUGUGCUGGGGAAACAGGACUUUUACUGUGAAAAAAUUAGAGUGCUUAAGGCAGGCCUAUGCUCGAAUACAUUAGCAUGGAAUAAUAGAAUAGGACGUGUGGUUCUAUUUUGUUGGUUUCUAGGACCGCCGUAAUGAUUAAUAGGGACAGUCGGGGGCAUCAGUAUUCAAUUGUCAGAGGUGAAAUUCUUGGAUCUAUUGAAGACUAACUACUGCGAAAGCAUUUGCCAAGGAUGUUUUCAUUGAUAAGGAACGAAAGUUAGGGGAUCGAAGACGAUCAGAUACCGUCGUAGUCUUAACUAUAAACUAUGCCGACUAGGGAUCGGACGAUGUUAUUUCUUGACGCGUUCGGCACCUUUCGAGAAAUCAAAGUGCUUGGGCUCCAGGGGGAGUAUGGUCGCAAGGCUGAAACUUAAAGAAAUUGACGGAAGGGCACCACCAGGGGUGGAACCCGCGGCUUAAUUUGACUCAACACGGGGAAACUCACCAGGUCCAGACACAGUGAGGAUUGACAGAUUGAGAGCUCUUUCUUGAUUCUGUGGGUGGUGGUGCAUGGCCGUUCUUAGUUGGUGGAGUGAUUUGUCUGCUUAAUUGCGAUAACGAACGAGACCUUAACCUGCUAAAUAGCCCGUACUGCUUUGGCAGUUCGCCGGCUUCUUAGAGGGACUAUCGG